AAGGGUGUAGCUCAGUGGUAGAGUGUGUGUUUAGCAUGCACAAGGUCCUGAGUUCCAUCCCCAGUACCUCCA
This 72-nucleotide transfer RNA is filed under the name Camelus bactrianus (Bactrian camel). It matches the Rfam family "tRNA". From Rfam's summary of the family: Transfer RNA (tRNA) molecules are approximately 80 nucleotides in length. Lineage: Eukaryota; Metazoa; Chordata; Mammalia; Artiodactyla; Camelidae. The record is from Rfam by way of RNAcentral. RNAcentral also lists the same sequence under 1 other name.